GAGGCAGACAGAGAUAGAAACACAAAGAGAGCGAUGGUUGAUGAUGGCGACGAAGACGACGAAGACGACAGCAAUGAUGACGAUGAUGAUGAUGAUAAUAAUGGUGUUGAUGACGAUGCUGAUUGUUAUCACAGUGAUAACAAUAACAGAAGGGAAAGCUUGUUCGUACUUCCUUUUAAUGUUAUUUCUUUUGGUUGCUGUUGUUGUUGUUGUUGCUGUCACUUAGCUGGAUGUUGCCAAGGUUCAGCGGACGUAGAUUUAAGAAGCGGAAAGAAACUGGAUGUUGAGGCAAGGAUGCCUUUCCCAACGUUGGAAACUACUUUAAUAUCUGCGGCGGCGGCGGCGGCAGUUGUGUUGGCGGUAGUAGUGAUGAUGAUGAUGAUGAUGAUGAUGAUAAUGGCGGCAGUGAUGGUGGUAGUGGUGAUAGUAAUAGUGGUGGUAAUGAUGAUGAUGAUGAUGACGACGACGACGAUGGUGUUGGUAGCGGCGGCGGCGGCAGCGGCGGCGGUAGCGGUGGUUGCAGCGGUGGUGGUGAUGCUGGUGUUAAUGAUAAUGAUGGGGAUGAUGAUGAUGAUGAUGAUGAUGACGGUGGCAAUGGUGUUGAUGACAUAACUGAAGUGCCACUGGCUUUAAAGGAGUACCGUUAAAUUCACACAGAAGCAAGCAAAACAACCAUAUUAAGAUUUAGACACAAUUUCGAAGGAAAAAGCGAAAAAAAAAAAAAUAAUAAAAAAGAAAAGCGUAAAGAAAAGAGGAAAUGUAAUGAAUCUUAUAAUUUCCAAUAUGGAUUUACUUUUGCUUUGAAAAAUAACUACGAAAUGUCUGUCUGCUUAAUUUGUAACGAUUGUUUGACGGCUGAGAGUAUGAAGCUUAUAAAAAAAUGAAAAAGACACGUUUUGAUUCAAGAUAUUCCUCCUUUAGCAGUGAGCCUAUGGAGUUCUUUUUUGGUUGUAUUUAUUCAUUUUGAAAGGCUAUUGGAAUCUUUCAGUAAACAGAAGCAAUCUUUUGAGAAACUUAUUCAUAGAAUCGACACAGUGAAAUACUUAAGGACGUCCUUUGAUAUUGGUUAUUUAAAUAUUUAAAUGCAACAGUUAAAAAUUAAAAAAAAAAAAUCCACCCAGCAUCGGCGAAGAAUUCGUGUUAACAGCAACGAUUAACAUGACAGAAAUCGUUCGCAGAAUUACCAAAAAAAUGAGUUUGUGAAUUAAGGAAAUUUAGUCAUUCAAAUAAUUUUGUUGCUUGUCGUAUUUCAGAAAUUAAUGGUAAUCAAUAUGGCGAGGAACUUUCUGCAAGAAGUGAAAUAGGUUUUCUUAUCUUUUAUUUGGUUCUGGCAUAGGAUUGUGGUCAUGUUGGAGCACCGCUUUGAAAGGUCUAGUAGAACAAAUCACCUCUCUCACCGCCACAUCGCUACCCACUGAGAGGCGUUUGUGUCUAAAAAAAAUCCCUGCAGAUCUGAAUGCAGUGUCGCAAGAUGCAGUAAAAAUUAUUAAAUUCAUUAAUCCUUUGCCUGUUUGAAGCAUUUUCAUAAAUUUCUCCUA
Molecule: long non-coding RNA, 1538 nt
Organism: Octopus bimaculoides (California two-spot octopus)
Lineage: Eukaryota; Metazoa; Mollusca; Cephalopoda; Octopoda; Octopodidae
Source: RefSeq, a predicted model, not a curated record